ACCGUGGCUUUAGAUUGUUACUGUGUGGAUGGGAGUGGUAACAGUCUACAGCCAUGGUUG
RNAcentral lists this microRNA precursor (60 nucleotides) under Gekko japonicus. Its description in RNAcentral is "Gja-Mir-132-P1_pre stem-loop". It matches the Rfam family "mir-132 microRNA precursor family", at positions 11 to 84 of the family's 84-position model. Lineage: Eukaryota; Metazoa; Chordata; Lepidosauria; Squamata; Gekkonidae. The record is from RNAcentral.